ACGACAUUUAUUGAGAUACACCUGUAUCUGUUUGAUUAAUAAAAGUUCUCUAGUACUUUAAUGUUUGUAAUGAUUUUAACUAGGGCUCGGCGAUAAUUCGAUAACGAUAAUUAUCAUCAGAAUAUAAUUUUCGUCGAUAAAACGAUAUGAAGAGUUCGAUAAAUGUUCGAUAUAAUGUUUAUGCGACACAAUCGGAACAAAACGGCGCGACUUAUUUGAAUCGCGCCACUUUGGCCGUUUGAUCAAAGUUCAAACUGCCACGACGAGCUCAUUAUGUCAUUAGAGCAUGUUUACACGGUCACGCUAACAUUAAGCAGCGCUGUGAGAUCCAGUGUGAAGCUCUUGAAUUCAGCGAUGAACACAAAUGACUCGGCUGGGACUCGGGAUAGUGGAGUGUGUGGUUUUGGGAAGCGAAGACACAAACCUACCACGAAUACGUCCAUUCACGUCCCAGUCUGAAUUUAUGACCUUCUAACAACGUGCCGGCUUUAGGCAUGGAGUCAAGAGGAUGAACUGAACUGUAUAAAGCUGUAUGGAUUCAUUUAUAAACGGAAAUCAAUAAACAAAAAUGAGAAAAUGAUUUCAUAGAAAGUA
Carassius auratus (goldfish) is the source of this 594-nucleotide long non-coding RNA. RefSeq lists it as uncharacterized. Lineage: Eukaryota; Metazoa; Chordata; Actinopteri; Cypriniformes; Cyprinidae. The transcript has 3 exons. The record is from RefSeq and is a predicted model, not a curated record.